Molecule: ribosomal RNA, 577 nt
Filed under: fungal endophyte
Lineage: Eukaryota; Fungi
Description: eukaryotic LSU rRNA
Rfam family: 5.8S ribosomal RNA (bases 202-355)
Source: RNAcentral
AAAUUAGACUCGUAGUGACCUGCGGAGGGAUCAUUACACAAAUAUGAAGGCGGGCUGGAACCUCUCGGGGUUACAGCCUUGCUGAAUUAUUCACCCUUGUCUUUUGCGUACUUCUUGUUUCCUUGGUGGGUUCGCCCACCACUAGGACAAACAUAAACCUUUUGUAAUUGCAAUCAGCGUCAGUAACAAAUUAAUAAUUACAACUUUCAACAACGGAUCUCUUGGUUCUGGCAUCGAUGAAGAACGCAGCGAAAUGCGAUAAGUAGUGUGAAUUGCAGAAUUCAGUGAAUCAUCGAAUCUUUGAACGCACAUUGCGCCCUUUGGUAUUCCAAAGGGCAUGCCUGUUCGAGCGUCAUUUGUACCCUCAAGCUUUGCUUGGUGUUGGGCGUCUUGUCUCUAGCUUUGCUGGAGACUCGCCUUAAAGUAAUUGGCAGCCGGCCUACUGGUUUCGGAGCGCAGCACAAGUCGCACUCUCUAUCAGCAAAGGUCUAGCAUCCAUUAAGCCUUUUUUUCAACUUUUGACCUCGGAUCAGGUAGGGAUACCCGCUGAACUUAAGCAUAUCAAAAGCCGGAGGAA